CUCGGGUGAUCCCGCCGGACCUGACUGCUAUCGGAUUGGUACUAAGCCAUGCGAGUCGUUGUAGCAAUACAAGGCGGACGGCUCAGUAACACGUAGUCAACCUAACCUAUGGACGUGGAUAACCUCGGGAAACUGAGAAUAAACCGCGAUAGAUCAUUAUGCCUGGAAUGGCUUAUGGUUCAAACAAUUUAUUGCCGUAGGAUGGGACUGCGGCCUAUCAGCUUGUUGGUGAGGUAAUGGCCCACCAAGGCUAUAACAGGUACGGGCUCUGAGAGGAGAAGCCCGGAGAUGGGUACUGAGACACGGACCCAGGCCCUAUGGGGCGCAGCAGGCGAGAAACCUUAGCAAUGUGCGAAAGCACGACUAGGUUAAUCCGAGUGAUUUCUGUUGAAGAAAUCUUUUGUCAGUCGUAAAACCACAGACGAAUAAGGGGUGGGCAAGUCUGGUGUCAGCCGCCGCGGUAAUACCAGCACCUCGAGUGGUCAGGAGGUUUAUUGGGCCUAAAGCAUCCGUAGCCGGCUACGCAAGUCUCCGGUUAAAUCCAGCUGCUCAACAGAUGGGCUGCCGGAGAUACUACAUAGCUAGGGAGCGGGAGAGGUAGACGGUAUUCUGUGGGUAGGGGUAAAAUCCACUGAUCCAUAGAGGACCACCAGUGGCGAAGGCGGUCUACCAGAACGCGUUCGACGGUGAGGGAUGAAAGCUGGGGGAGCAAACCGGAUUAGAUACCCGGGUAGUCCCAGCUGUAAACGAUGCAAACUCGGUGAUGCAUUGGCUUAUGGCCAAUGCAGUGCCGCAGGGAAGCCGUUAAGUUUGCCGCCUGGGAAGUACGGACGCAAGUCUGAAACUUAAAGGAAAUGGCGGGGGAGCA
Molecule: ribosomal RNA, 868 nt
Filed under: uncultured archaeon
Lineage: Archaea
Description: bacterial SSU rRNA
Rfam family: Archaeal small subunit ribosomal RNA
Source: RNAcentral